AACUGAAGAGUUUGAUCAUGGCUCAGAUUGAACGCUGGCGGCAGGCUUAACACAUGCAAGUCGAGCGGGGGAAGGUAGCUUGCUACUGGACCUAGCGGCGGACGGGUGAGUAAUGCUUAGGAAUCUGCCUAUUAGUGGGGGACAACAUCUCGAAAGGGAUGCUAAUACCGCAUACGUCCUACGGGAGAAAGCAGGGGAUCUUCGGACCUUGCGCUAAUAGAUGAGCCUAAGUCGGAUUAGCUAGUUGGUGGGGUAAAGGCCUACCAAGGCGACGAUCUGUAGCGGGUCUGAGAGGAUGAUCCGCCACACUGGGACUGAGACACGGCCCAGACUCCUACGGGAGGCAGCAGUGGGGAAUAUUGGACAAUGGGGGGAACCCUGAUCCAGCCAUGCCGCGUGUGUGAAGAAGGCCUUAUGGUUGUAAAGCACUUUAAGCGAGGAGGAGGCUACUUUAGUUAAUACCUAGAGAUAGUGGACGUUACUCGCAGAAUAAGCACCGGCUAACUCUGUGCCAGCAGCCGCGGUAAUACAGAGGGUGCGAGCGUUAAUCGGAUUUACUGGGCGUAAAGCGUGCGUAGGCGGCUUAUUAAGUCGGAUGUGAAAUCCCCGAGCUUAACUUGGGAAUUGCAUUCGAUACUGGUGAGCUAGAGUAUGGGAGAGGAUGGUAGAAUUCCAGGUGUAGCGGUGAAAUGCGUAGAGAUCUGGAGGAAUACCGAUGGCGAAGGCAGCCAUCUGGCCUAAUACUGACGCUGAGGUACGAAAGCAUGGGGAGCAAACAGGAUUAGAUACCCUGGUAGUCCAUGCCGUAAACGAUGUCUACUAGCCGUUGGGGCCUUUGAGGCUUUAGUGGCGCAGCUAACGCGAUAAGUAGACCGCCUGGGGAGUACGGUCGCAAGACUAAAACUCAAAUGAAUUGACGGGGGCCCGCACAAGCGGUGGAGCAUGUGGUUUAAUUCGAUGCAACGCGAAGAACCUUACCUGGCCUUGACAUACUAGAAACUUUCCAGAGAUGGAUUGGUGCCUUCGGGAAUCUAGAUACAGGUGCUGCAUGGCUGUCGUCAGCUCGUGUCGUGAGAUGUUGGGUUAAGUCCCGCAACGAGCGCAACCCUUUUCCUUACUUGCCAGCAUUUCGGAUGGGAACUUUAAGGAUACUGCCAGUGACAAACUGGAGGAAGGCGGGGACGACGUCAAGUCAUCAUGGCCCUUACGGCCAGGGCUACACACGUGCUACAA
Molecule: ribosomal RNA, 1233 nt
Filed under: Acinetobacter baumannii
Lineage: Bacteria; Pseudomonadati; Pseudomonadota; Gammaproteobacteria; Moraxellales; Moraxellaceae
Description: bacterial SSU rRNA
Rfam family: Bacterial small subunit ribosomal RNA
Source: RNAcentral